This 493-nucleotide ribosomal RNA is filed under the name uncultured bacterium. RNAcentral describes it as "partial 16S ribosomal RNA". It matches the Rfam family "Bacterial small subunit ribosomal RNA", at positions 28 to 507 of the family's 1533-position model. The record is from RNAcentral.
GACGAACGCUGGCGGCGUGCUUAACACAUGCAAGUCGAACGGUGAAGGGACCGGUUUUUGCUGGUUCUGGAUGAGUGGCGAACGGGUGAGUAACACGUGAGUAACCUGCCCCCUUCUUCUGGAUAACCGCAUGAAAGUGUGGCUAAUACGGGAUAUUCUGCGCCUGCUGCAUGGUGGGUGUGGGAAAGAUAUUGUUUCGGUGGGGGAUGGGCUCGCGGCCUAUCAGCUUGUUGGUGGGGUGAUGGCCUACCAAGGCGGUGACGGGUAGCCGGCCUGAGAGGGUGGACGGUCACGCUGGGACUGAGACACGGCCCAGACUCCUACGGGAGGCAGCAGUGGGGAAUAUUGCACAAUGGGCGCAAGCCUGAUGCAGCGACGCCGCGUGAGGGAUGGAGGCCUUCGGGUUGUAAACCUCUUUCGCCAGUGAAGCAGGCCUGUCCCUUUUGUGGGUGGGUUGACGGUAGCUGGAUAAGAAGCGCCGGCUAACUACGUG